Molecule: small RNA, 436 nt
Filed under: Pongo abelii (Sumatran orangutan)
Lineage: Eukaryota; Metazoa; Chordata; Mammalia; Primates; Hominidae
Description: processed transcript
Source: RNAcentral
CGCCGCCGCCGCCGCCGCCAGCAGCAGCUGCAGCAGCGGCAGCAGCCCCAGCCUCAAGGCCAGUUUAAGCUAUGAAGAAGGACAUCCCUCACACUCUGAAACAGAUCUCCUUCAGAGACAGAGUUUUGCAGCCUCUCAUCAGCUUCCUGGAUAUGCUCCCACACCUCAGCCUACUGGCAUGCAUUCCUCAGCAGCAACUGAGCUGUUUGCUACUGGACCUUUGCCAAGCACUGGAACACUUGCACCAUCUCUCUCUGCUUAUCAGCAUCCCACCACCUUCAGCAAUAGAAACUUUGCUACCACGUCACCUUUGGUGCUUCAGGAUUCAACUUUUAACACUACAUCAAAUGGAAUUUUAAGUCAUCAUGACCCUUUGCUACAAAUCAAGACUUCCCAGGGAACUGUUCCAACUGCUUUGGCAUUUGAGCGCCUGGGC